This 386-nucleotide ribosomal RNA is filed under the name uncultured bacterium. RNAcentral's name for it is "bacterial SSU rRNA". It matches the Rfam family "Bacterial small subunit ribosomal RNA", at positions 29 to 416 of the family's 1533-position model. The record is from RNAcentral.
AUUGAACGCUGGCGGAAUGCUUUACACAUGCAAGUCGAACGGCAGCACGGGGGCAACCCUGGUGGCGAGUGGCGAACGGGUGAGUAAUACAUCGGAACGUGCCCAAUCGUGGGGGAUAACGUAGCGAAAGCUACGCUAAUACCGCAUACGAUCUACGGAUGAAAGCGGGGGAUCGCAAGACCUCGCGCGAAUGGAGCGGCCGAUGGCAGAUUAGGUAGUUGGUGGGGUAAAGGCUCACCAAGCCAACGAUCUGUAGCUGGUCUGAGAGGACGACCAGCCACACUGGGACUGAGACACGGCCCAGACUCCUACGGGAGGCAGCAGUGGGGAAUUUUGUACAAUGGGCGAAAGCCUGAUCCAGCCAUUCCGCGUGCAGGAUGAAGGCC